Molecule: long non-coding RNA, 317 nt
Organism: Triticum dicoccoides
Lineage: Eukaryota; Viridiplantae; Streptophyta; Magnoliopsida; Poales; Poaceae
Exons: 3
Source: RefSeq, a predicted model, not a curated record
CAAGAUAUACCCGGGGAAUGCAUCAGAUUCGUCCAUUCAGACUCUCGAGUCUUCCUUUUUUUCAACUCAAAGUGCAAGCGCUAUUUCCACAACCAUCUUAAGCCUGGUAAGCUUAUAUGGAAUGCCAUGUACAGGAAGCAGCACAAGAACGUACAUGUAUAUUCGUGUUGAGGCUGCAAAGAAGAGGCACCGCGCCAUCAAGAGUCCUUAUGGUCUCGCUGUUCAUCGCCUCUGGACGCGCCAUUGAUGACCAUAACCACCGUCCAUGCAUAGAAUCCAUGUGUCGUGUUUCCUGUUUCUCUAAGACCUUGUAGUUC